This 440-nucleotide ribosomal RNA is filed under the name uncultured bacterium. Its description in RNAcentral is "partial 16S ribosomal RNA". It matches the Rfam family "Bacterial small subunit ribosomal RNA", at positions 338 to 795 of the family's 1533-position model. The record is from RNAcentral.
CCUACGGGAGGCUGCAGUGGGGAAUAUUGCACAAUGGGGGAAACCCUGAUGCAGCGACGCCGCGUGAAGGAAGAAGUACUUCGGUAUGUAAACUUCUAUCAGCAGGGAAGAAAAUGACGGUACCUGACUAAGAAUCCAUGGCCAACUACGUGCCAGCAGCCGCGGUAAUACGUAGGGGGCAAGCGUUAUCCGGAUUUACUGGGUGUAACGGGAGCGUAGGCGGUUUAGCAAGUCAGAAGUGAAAGCCCGGGGCUCAACUCCGGGACUGCUUUUGAAACUGUGGAACUGGAUUGCAGGAGAGGUAAGUGGAAUUCCUGGUGUAGCGGUGAAAUGCGUAGAUAUUAGGAGGAACACCAGUGGCGAAGGCGGCUUACUGGACUGUAAAUGACGCUGAGGCUCGAAAGCGUGGGGAGCAAACAGGAUUAGAUACCCCGGUAGUC